Long non-coding RNA from Gallus gallus (chicken), 11486 nucleotides. RefSeq lists it as uncharacterized. Lineage: Eukaryota; Metazoa; Chordata; Aves; Galliformes; Phasianidae. The record is from RefSeq and is a predicted model, not a curated record. The transcript has 2 exons.
AGACAUACGCACAGUACCACGGCACCAAGAGCAGUCACACACAGAACAGCUGCAGGAUGGAAACUGGAAGUGUGGUUUUGCCCUUCUGAGGAGCUUUAGAUGUGUGAAUCCCUCAGCCAAACAAAAAAACAAUCUACUAUGUACACAGCCGCCGAGGGAAACAAACGCAACAAUAUACUGCUGUAUUGUGAGGAAUGAGACACAUCAGCCACCAAAAAUAGACAUGGCAGAACACUGCUUUGCUCACAGAGGAUGAAGGGCACCCAAUUUUUGCGGACAACACAGCCAGCGAGUGCAGGGGAGCAUGACUCAGCCUGAGCUUCAGGUGAAGCUUCGGAUAAAAGUGCACCUACGCCUUUAAGGGACACAACUAGUUAGACAAACCCGUGGCAAUAGGAUUCCAUCUAAUGUCAUUUUCUACCUAGCUUGGUUGCUUUUGUGCUGCUCACGUGCUGUGAAUUCGAUAGGCCUUGCAAAUGUUAUUAUCCUGAAUUAAAACUCUGGAAUUUUUUAACUCUUUGUUUCCUUGGCAAUACUGAAGACCUCAUGAACUGCACCUUAACGAUGCCAGCAUGCCAGAAGCUAAAUAACAAUAUUUCAUCUGCCUUUUUUCCGUCUUGAAAUCCUCCACUUGCUAAAUUGACCAAAUCCAAGGAGCUGCUGUGCUGGAUGUGCCAGCGGGCGCUGCAAAGAGCAGUGCUUGGUUUCCUCAUAAAGCACCAAGUCCCAAGAGAAGAAAAAUCACAGAAUCAUCACAGAAUCACAGAAUGGCCUGGGUUGAAAAGGACCACAAUGACCAUUGAGUUUCAACCCCCCUGCUAUGUGCAGGGUCACCAACCACCAGACCAGGCUGCCCAGAGCCACAUCCAGCCUGGCCUUGAAUGCUUCCAGGGAUGGGGCAUCCACAGCCUCCUUGGGCAACCUGUUCCAGUGCGUCACCACCCUCUGAGUGAAAAACUUCCUCCUAGUAUCUAACGUAAAUGUCCCUUGUCUCAGUUUAAAACCAUUUCCCCGUCCUAUCAAAAAAAAAUCAUUUUCCCCCAUCCUUAGCCAGUGCUAGACUCAGCACCUAGCAAGCACACAGCACACAGGAAAAGCAGCAUUCCAGUUUCCUGAGACAUUCCUGAUGGAGGUAGCAGAGGGCAGGCUUGGUCUACGCUUCCUGCUCCUUCCUAUGACUCCACCUGAUCAAAUGUUGACUUAUGAUAAAAAUUAAUCACUCCCAACAAGGGUUACCUCGCCCAUAAUUACAGAGCAGUACUUCACAUUUACACUGUGCUGUACGUCCUGGCACAUCCCUGAUUUCUUACUCUGGAGUCAAUCGUGAAGUUGUCCCAAACCAGCAACUGAGGGGAUGAAUGGCAGAGAGCGCUCAGUAUUGGCCACCAAGAGGGCUGAGAGCCCUGACCAGGGUGGCUGGGAGGCAGAGGCUGGCAGGCAGGGGCCCUCCAUGGGCUCGGUAACAAGCUUCUUAAACAGAACAACUUGGCUCAGCACACUUGUAGAGCCGAGGCUCGAAAGCACUAUUCCAUUAAUUUGGUUAAUCCCUGCGCACAGUACCCUGUGCUAAUGCCAUUUUACUUGCAAGAAGCCUGUGGCUCAAAGGUUAAGUGAUUUAAACAAAGCCCCACAGCUACCUCAGUGCAGCAGGAAGACCCGGCGCCAGCACCUGCUCCCACCCUUCCCCCAACAUCUCCCCAUCAAACCAAGCCUGUCUCUACUCAGAGCUGCUUUCUUUCAUAUGGGGGCCCACAUCCCACGGGUGACUGUGGUACAUCCCUCAGCCUCCGCAGUGCCUGAGAUGAAGUCAGGAAUCCUGCAGGGCAACAGCACUGCUUGUCUGGCACUGCCCACUGCCUGCAGGCCUCAAACAGCACACAGGGACACCAAUAUACAUUCUGUAUGUAUAAUGACCCAGCGUAACUCUGUAGUUAAUGCUGAUGUGCCUGAAAUGCCUGCACCAAUCCUGUUGGGAGCUGGGGCUGAAAAACAGCACUGCUGCCCCUUGAAACUGUCAGCUAAUGUUACUUAACAUUAUACCAGUCUUUACAGUACAAUCUUGCUGGCUCCUUACAAGUUUCUUAUGGACUGCGAUGAGAAGGGAAAGAAAACAAGAAGUAAUGUUCAUGAGCAGGGACACUAGGAAAUCCACAACAUAUGAAAUCCUUAAUAAAGCUGCCAAUGCUGCGACCACUGUGGGUCAGCUGUUCUGCUGACAGGUUAGCACUGCAGAAGCAACGGUGCAAACAGUGGGGACAUAAUGAGGAAGAGAAACUACCAUGUCAGCUUUAUUCAGCACAGCCUUGGCAUAUAAAAAGCAACUGAAUAAAUACAAAUUUUAACUGGAGGAAAUAUAUAUCUAUCUCCCCUUCUCUUUUGGGGAGGAGAACAGAAAUCCCUACAGAAAUGCUGAACGGUGCAUGCUCUGCAGGCACAGAACAAAGAGGAAAAGCGCACCUAUGGCAGCAAGGAGUUAAAAAGCUCCCCAUUGCAGUUUUUCAUAAAGCACACCACCAAACUCGGGGCAUGCCUAAGCACAUGCCAAAGCUCAGGAAUUAGUCUUUGGAAAAACCACCCUUCUUAAAGGCACAGCACAGAAGGGCAGAGGGAGAUGAGGCUGUCAGGAAAAGCAUGAAGAGUGGAAGGGAAAAGGAACCUUAUGACUCAUCAGUUCCUUUGCUACAAUAGCCACAUAAAGCUCCAUUAUCGUCAGAAAACAAAGAAUAAAGAGAAUAAAGAAAGUAUAAAACCACAUAGGAUCUAUUUACACCCUAAUCCCUCCAUCCCAUUCAUUUUGCAGCCCCUGGAGAUAAACAAACUCUCAAGGGCAGUUUCUGCCUGGCAUUUUUGAGACUGGUCAUAGGACAGCCUCGGCUUUGCUGGCUGUUUCUUUUCCUUCUGCCCUCAUCACAGCCAAGCGCUGAUUUAUAGGGCGCACCUGACCUUACUGGGCCCCCUACACCUCUAAAACACCUCCCAUGCCCUCCUGAACUGCUGCAACCACCAGUGCCUCCCUUGAGAGUGCUGGCAUUUCUGUUCUAUCAGCUGCACAGGGGCACGCACACAAGAGGUUUCUUUGUAUUUUACACUGUUAGAAAGAAGAAACGGUGGACGACAGUAUCUCCUUCCUAAGCAAGGGAGAGAAGGAAGAACCUUCUUGGCUUCUGCUACAAAGGGGUGACUUGUCCCCCUUGCCACUUCUGCAGCAACAUCUGCAAGCGUUGCUCAUCCUACAGAACUUCAGAUCCAACCUGCAGGCACUGCCUGCCUUGGAGAUACGUCAGCUUACUCCAGCUAAGGACAACCAUCACUACAAACUACAGCGGAUCAGGGCCAACGUCCUAAGCAUUCCCUUCACAGUUUGAGCAGCAAGAAUGAUCUCAGGAGACUUUUUUAGCAGAAACAGAGACCUGCAUUGUGAACAAAGGACCAUCUGAACUACAGCAAACAUCCAUGUCCUCCCACACAUUGGUCCAUGUCUGCUGAACAUUUCUUAACCUGCUCACUGACUGUCCCUACCUUGUUCCCUUGUUCCCUUCCUGUUUCUCCAUCGUCCUUUGUUGUCAUGUUGUCAUGCUUUCUUGGUUAGCUAACCCCUCAGGAAAAAUUUUAAUACAGACAGGAAGAAAAAAGGGAGACUGAAAUGGUGCUACUAACACAAUCCUUGCAAAUGAGUCUUCAGCUGGCUCAUGAAUCUAGCAGUACUUAGAUGAGCACCUUUGCUUAAAGCAUCCACGAAAUCCUUUCCCCUUUGACAGCAGAAUUUUUCAGUUUACUAAGCACAGCAACACAAUCAGUUCUUAAAAUACAGAAGAUAGCUACAUCUUUUAUCCUUGUCCUUCAGGAGACUGGAAUUAGGAGACAACGGGAACGGAAUAGGCUCACUACACCCUCUUCUAAAAUAUCAAGCUUCCCAUAAGCAGGCAGUUCCUCCAGUCAUAUUAUUCCAAAUUCCAUCUCAUAUUAUUCCAAAUUGUCUCCAUGUAAGUUUGGGGAACUAAAGGUAACAUUGCGAAGCAAAGGAGCACAAUGGUAUGCUCUCAGUUACAGGCCCUGUGCCCGUAUGGCAUUCCAUUCACAUCCCCUCCAGGUAUGAGGUGGGCUUCCAAACAGCAGACGUGCCCAUGCCAGGUUUCACUGUCGCCCACUCACCAAAUUCACAACUCACUGCAAACAGCAUACAUCAUACAAACAAUACAAACUCCAAGGCAAGCACACAACUUGACCAUUAAAUGCAGUCAGCCUUGUAAUUGUGAUUUAGAAACCGAGGUCUUCAGAGUUCUGAUCAAUAAGCAAAUCAAGUGUUUAAAAUACUUUGUGAUUUUAUUACAAGAUCAUGACAUAGUCAAAAAUUAAUCUUACAAAGUAACUGAGCUCAUAAUGCACAUGACAUUUUUUCUUCCUGAGCUCUAUGUGAAUUCUUUCCUAAAUUGCUUAUCUUGCAUAAUUUUAAUUGGAUCCCAGAACGCCAUGACCUUGAUCCAGCAGCUACAGUAUCUCAGUGCUGUCAUCUACAGUUAUAUAUGGUACAGUACCUUCCAAAUCUGUGAACCCUGGGAGAUCAGAACUGUGUGCUGUGCAGGGCUAUUUUUCUUAUACCCAAACAUUUUCUUAUUCAAGGUCUUCCAAGAGGGCUCUGAUUGCCUUGGAAGGUCACCAAGAUAAAGAUCCCACUCCGGUAACUAGAUGAGUCCCUCAUAAACUGCACUGCUGGCCAGCAAGCAGUUACAAGUGAUACCCUGGCUUCACUAUUAGCGUAUGAGAAUGUAAGCAUGGCUGGAAACACGAAGCAUGCCUUGAGAUUACUGCCACCUCCUGUGCAUAAGUCAGGAAGGUCACUCCAGCACUGAGCAAUGCAAGAGACAACACUGCAAAUUCAGAGGAUCUCUGACUCCAGUGGUACUGUGUAGCUGUUACUUUAAUGGUACUGUAGCUCUCAGGAACAAAACUCACAGCCUUGUAAAAGUCACAAAAGCCUAGCCUUCAGUACAAAGGAUUCUUACAGAAAACUGAUCUUUCUCCCUUGAGAUCACAAGAAUAUAUUUUUUAAAUGAAAAUCUGCCAGUUUUUCGAGAUAGCAGAAAAUUGUAACAUUUGGAUGUAUAUUGGGUACUAAACUUUGUACUGUUUAGUGUGGUAGAGCUUUCAUGAGGAACUUAAAAAUAGUGACCUUGUGCCUUCUUUUCAUAUACACACGCUGAAACAGUCCCUGCAGACUGAGAUACUUGGCCAUGGAAACAGCAAGGAUACAAAAGGCCUUCAUCACACAAAUGCCUGAGCCAUCAGGCUUGCUGCUAUAGGGCCAACAGCUUGGAAGCCCACACAGACUGAGAUCCCAACUCCUAAGCAGAAAGCUGGAAGUACUUAUUUCCAGCACUGCUCACAGACACUUUGCCAGAUAGCUGGGAUCCCAGUUCUGAAAGUCCUGGGACACACUCCUAGGAUGCACAGCUCCUUCAUGCAGAAAAUCCUAGGCCAAGUGGUCCUGGGCUUGCAGCCAGCAGUUGCUUCAGUCUGUUCCUGUGAAAAAUGCUUCAUUUUGGGAACCUCAAUGGAAAGAAGGAUAAACUGAAGACCUCUCAUGAUUGGAGCUGUGGCCAGCUCCACAGUCCAACCUGCGUCUCAGUUCCUUUUAAGAUAUUUUGGUCUUUGGAAAUAGUCAGGCACCAAAUGCCACCAAGCUGACAUUUUCAAGGCGAGAAUCAUCAGUUGCAGAGGGGAAGACUAGAGGAGGAUGCACAGAGCUUUGCCUCACUGAGAAACUGCAGCCUCAGCCCACCUUUACUCUUACGAAACAACAAGCUCUCUUAUGUUAGCCCAAGGCCACAAAGCUGCCUGCCAGGCUUCAGCCUGACAACACCUGAAGACCCAAAGUCUCCUCAGCAGUGCAUCCCCAAGCACCACAAUCCUGUGGGCCCAGAUGCAGGUGUCUAAAACUACAGGCCAGUGCCCUCUGCCAGGCAGCAGCACGCUGUGCAGGAUAGGCAGCACUACAAAAUGGCAGCCAGGGCCCCGGCCCACCAUGACCCUCACAGCAAGGCUGGCUGUGCAGCCCACUGGGAAGCAGCGUGUGGCUUCCUGACUGAAUGUCACCCCUUGAUCAUGUUUACUGUUGACCACAGGCAACUAACGCUUUGCCGGGCUCCUGGAAAGGGGUAUCAAGGCAAAAGCAAAGCAGCUGGGGUGGCAGCUGUGCUCACUGCUUCCAUACGUCACUCCAUUUUUGGUGGGCACAGAAAUUCCAGGCCCCUCUCCAAUGAACACCACCUUCACUACAUCUUGCUUUUGCUCUAUUCCCUGCAUCUCAGCAAUGAACUUGGAGGGCAGAAUACUGUGAUGCUUUUUUAAGUACUGCUUUUCUUGUUCCGGCCCACUCACCAUCAGGGCAACAGUCUUUGACCUGCCAGGAAGCCUCAACAGUGGCCACACAGGCUCCUCAAUCAUCUUCACCAAAUCCUCCAGAGAAAGCUCUGGCAGCUCUGCCUGCACAAAGGCUUCAGGAGCAAGCUCGCUGUCAGCAAGCCUUCAAUUUUUCCUCUUCAUCUGGUUUCUGCCACAACACACAUCCAUAAAGGUUUAGUCCCUGCUGUGGUAGUUUGGUGCUUGCAAACUGUAGGACACCAGACAGAAGAUAAAUGAAGGCAACCUUUCCCUUCUGCCUUUUCUUUUCAUUCUGAAACUCACAAAGGUCAGAUUUGGAUUUAAUUUUGUCCUGCGCAAUGUUUUGGCUUGGUUCGUAUUUAUUCCAAGUGAGUUCACCCAUUUCUUCUGUAGAAAUAAAAGGUCAUGAAACCACUGAGUUCUCUCCCUUCUAAAGGGGGCACUCCCUCCUAGCGAGCAAAUUACCAGUGAAACCAAGGAAAAAAAAAUUAAGCAAAAAAUGUGUUUUGUUCCCACUGGGCAGGUGGAACUGCAAUCACAGCUGAGUGUAAUUAGGAAAUGUGUAAGGAUGCACUUCAGAUGCCACUACUUUGCAUCAGUUUUUAAGCAGUCUGUUUAAUUUGAUUGAUGAACUCAAGGUAAGAAAAAAAAACUUUUAAUUUUUUUUUGCUUAUUUAUUGAAAAAACCACCAACGUUGUCCUUCUUUCUGCAGUAUUUAUUUGUCUAUGCAGCAAUAGGAACCACCCAGUUUUGGAGAGUGGAACCAGUUUUGGAGAGGACAGAAAAGGGAGGGUUGGAUCACUUCAUACAUAAAAUCAAUCCAUAUUAGCCCUCAGCUGAUAUGCAGGUUAAGAACUAACACAUAGGUUAAGAAGGAGAUGCACGCAUGCAUAUAUGUGUGUGUGUUACGUGUUACCUUUAUUGGUCGUUUACAGAUCAGCUUCAUUUUUUUUUUCAGUUGAAUAAUUGGAGGAAUGAGAGCAUCCAGAAUCGAACUUUUAGUUCUGGCUGACAUAAAUAGCUUUUCAAAGCCAGGUUUUUGGUUCAUUGACUUCACUUGAGUUUUCUUGCUUUGUUUAGUACAAGAAUUUACCAUGUCAUUUGAAAUGUAAACAUAUCUAAACUUAUUCUGCUGGAAUAAAACAGAGUUAUUCUGUGUUCAUUUACUGUAAUACGCUGCUUCCUUUCCAUGCUUUCAACACAAAAUCAUCUUGGUUCAAAUGUUUUAAAGAAUUUUUGGAAAGGCAAAAUGCCUUCCAAUGCUGCUUUAAGAACUCAGUAGUAAUGAAAAAAAAAGUACAGGGUUCUAAAUAUCUUAAGGAUGAAUCCUUAAUGCUGUGUAAAUGUCUUACUCUGUGAAAACAUGACAAGUACCCACUUGCAUUUAUCUACAUAAUUCCACUAUUUUAUUAAGAACUGAUAUCUCGUCAAAGUCAAAUGCUGAAACAGUUAAAGUCCCAACUCAGCUCAAAACCAACAAAUUUCUAAAGAAAUAAAAUUAAAAAAAGUAUUUGCAAGCUGAAAUCAUUAUUUUUGUGACUGAUUUUGACAAUCCUCAUUUUUUAUCUUUUGGAAUAUUAAUCAAACCUCAGUGAGGUGACCUGUCCUCUACUGAAGUAGUCUGAGUUGCAUUUGUGUGGGUUUGGGGGAAAAAAAGAAGGAAUGAAAGUUACUAUUUUUUUCUCUCUAUACUUAAAUCAGAACUAAAGGUAAUAAAUGUAAGAUUUCAGCUGUUACAUAGAUGAUGCUUUUAUUUUAGAUACAGUUAGACAGGUACAUCAGUAGAUUGAAUAUCUGUGCAUUUAUCUGCACUUUACCACUGUUUUUUACUGAGAUGGUAAAUAAAGAAAAGAAAGAAAGCUGGGAAUAACAUUUGAGAUCAUUUCUUCCUUGUAAGCUUUCCACAGGAGCUCUGGAAAAGAGAUGGGACACUCAGGGCUGCAGUGACAGCAGCAUAGUAGCCUGGAGGUCACAACUGCAAGGUGCAACUAAAAAGCUCUCUGAUAAGGGUGAAUUACUGCUGCUUGGCCUUUGCAAUUAUUAAGCUCAUUCAACAUUAGCUAGUAGCAAAUGAGGUAACAUUGGGAGUGAGAUGUGUACAUCUCAGCAGAGAAACGUAGACUGCAUAGAUAACUGGCCGUAUCUAUGAUGCAUGUCAACACAUCCUAUCAAGCUAGUUGAAACUACUGAGGAUGUUCUGGAAGUGCCUGUUCUCUACGCUGGCUCCAAAGAGAAGGUAGCGUGAAUCAUUCAGGUACAGAUAUGGUAUUCCAAGCUGUAAAUAUAUAAAAUCAGAGGAGAUGAAUUUCACUCCCAGUAUCCUACUGCCUGAUUGAUUAUGAAACAAGUGUAAAUAAUUUGGCACCCAUCUAAUGAAUGCUUCACUUCCUCGAGUACAUGCUCCAGCCUUGGAUGAAGAGACCUUUGGGAGCUAUCUUGUGUUUACAGGCUCAGUUGGUGUUUCAAAAAGGGAGAUAUUAAAUUAGGAGUGUUUCCAGGAGGGUCUGCUGUUGGGAUUGAUCAAAGGCAUCACAAGACAUAGAGAAAAAGGUCAAGUAAAUAAGCCUUCUUGGGACAGACUGGACAGAGAGGACAGCCAGUUGUGCUAAUAAAGAGCAUCUUCUGGAGAGGGAAUCAGCUGAGAUUUUUAGGGAAGAGCUAAGCUGAGCAUAACUCCUGCUUGAGGAGUGGACAAGAAUCAAACAAUAAGUGAAGAUAAUGUCAGAUUCUCCUCUUUUUAUUGAAAGAAAAGGGAAAAUAAGGGCGCAAACAAAGCUACAACUUUACUAGGAACUUCUCAUUAUACUAAUUGGGAAAGGACUGUUUUCUCUGUCCUUCUAAGCACAGCAAAUACAUCACCUUGCUGUUUCUGAUCAGGCCUGUCACGUCAAGACUUCUGCACGUGCUGGAUUUGAAGCAUGGGAUACUUCCAUUGACUCCUAUGAGACUGUACACAUCCAGGAAGUUAAAUGAAUGCACAAACAUUUACAAUGGCUGCGGCCUGCAGAUGUAAACUAAUGGGGUCCUGAAACGUUACAUAUGUGCUUCCUAUGGUCUCUGCAACAACAGACCCAGAAUCCUAAGACAUUUAAAUUAUACCACAAGUGAGAGUAAAUAAUAAAUACAGCUGUGAAAAUACGCACGCUGUUGAAAUAUCAAAUUGGAAUACAAUGCUACACUUAAAGCCAUAUGCAUCACUUAAAGUCUAGUACACUGCCAGCAAGUGAGAAGUUAUGGCUUUUGCAGUGAAAAAUAGUAAGUGGUUAUAAAAUACUGGGUUUGCAGUAGACAGGCACUGUUUUUUCAUGGAGCACUGGCACUUCAGUUAGCAAACAUUCUCUCAGGGUGCUGGUGAGUUGCCCGAGGCACUAUGUCUACUAUUGCCUUGCAUGGUGGGAACUCCAAUCAACCUGUCCAUCACAGGAAGGUUACAGAUUACACAGUGUUUUAUAAACAGUUUACAGCAGAACAAAAUGCAAAUGCUCUACUAUAAACAGAAGCCACACGCAUGUCCAAUUGUUUGUUCUGAAAUGCAGAUAUUUACAACAGCACAAGAAAAAGAAGUUUAACAAUGAACAAAUCAAACAUGGAGUGUUUGCUGCAGCUUUUAAAAAUAUGUCAGUAAAGCAUGAGGUCAGUGUUUAGUUCUGCUUGCAAUGACUGAAUCCUCCUAGCAGCAAUAUCUGGAGAUGUUUAUGGGAAAACUCGUGUUUAAUAACAGAUCAGCUGGUAAAUUACUAACUUAGUACACAGCAGAAGUGGGUACUUGUUUUUUAGAAGGCUGUGAAGUGCUGAAGCAGAAAUUUCCUAAGCACACUUGAAAUAACGUGGGCAUAGGUUAUGACCAAGUGAUACCCUGAUACUUCUCUUAGCUUUUCCAUAGGAAUUCAGAGUAAUAUCCAUACCCACACUUUUCAUGGCCUGGGAUCCAUCACAGCUGCCAGGUUGCUCUCUCUGCUAUUUGCGCCCCUAACUUUCUUCUUAAGGAAUAGGUAAAAACACCCUGGAAAUCCUUGGAAAACAGGUGCAACAUGAGGGAAAAUGAUUUAUCUCCCUUUUAUGAUAGAAUCAUAGAAUCAUAGAAUGGCCUGGGUUGAAAAGGACCACAAUGAUCAUCUGGUUUCAACCCCCCCGCUAUGUGCAGGGUCACUAACCACUAACCAGGCUGCCCAGAGCCACAUCCAGCCUGGCCUUGAAUGCCUUACCAUCUGUGUCCAGUUUACAGAUGAAGCUAAAUUCUGUUGUGGGGUACACUGACUAUGGCACAAGUUCCCAGCAGAGGUGCAGGACACAUCAUAACUAUGCUAACCUGGUAGCCUGGAAUAAGACAAGGUAACCACUAUAGAAAAAUCCAGCUACCACUGUAAUGGAGUAGCAUGGAGUAGGCAUUCCCACUGUUUAGGGCUUGAUACAAAUUCAGAAGAAAGCGUGCAUUAGUGACCAGUAAAUCAAAAUUGAAGUUUUAAAGAGCAAACCCUUUACAAAAGACUUCUUUGCUUAAAAAUCACAGAAAAGGGGAAAAAAAAACAAACAACAAAAACCUGAAGUAAUGGUAGUUUAACUCCUGCAGCUCAGUGAUAAACUAAAUAAUUAUCUGAGAGGAAAUGGGUCUCUAAAUACGAUCAGAAAGAAAACUUCUUUGCAGGAAGACACUGGUGAUUGCUUUCCAAAAGAAUUUAAAAGUUGCUUUUAAAAAAUAAAAGCUACCAUAUGUGAUGGUAAUAUCAAAGAAAAACAGAACAACCUCAAGGGCAGAUUAAGAACAUUUACUUUUCUUUCACAUAAAUACACACAUACACACACACUCCCAUACACGCUCUCCAUUAAUGACUGAUGUUUACUGACAGUUAUCUCAAGAAAUCUGUAAAAUGUCUCCCUUCCUAUCUAAAAACUCUGACCCUCAAAUGCAAACCCAAUUCUAGCACUGAUCAUUAAGGACUCUGAGAUGGCCGUGCCCAAGCACCUCUGCAGAAACAGCUGCAGCUGUUUAAGAUACUACUACUACUCAACUGCUUGGUGCUGCUUCUCACCCCACCCACACAUACAUAUAUAUAUAUAUACACAUCAAUCAUAUAUAUAGGUCAUUUGGGAAUUCCUCAUAGGC